UACGGNGGGUGCGAGCGUUAAUCGGAAUUACUGGGCGUAAAGCGCGCGUAGGCGGUUUGUCAAGUCGGAUGUGAAAGCCCCGGGCUCAACCUGGGAACUGCACCCGAUACUGGCCGACUUGAGUGCGAGAGAGGGAGGUAGAAUUCCAUGUGUAGCGGUGAAAUGCGUAGAUAUAUGGAGGAAUACCGGUGGCGAAGGCGGCCUCCUGGNUCGANACUGACGCUGAGGUGCGAAAGCGUGGGUAGCAAACAGG
This 253-nucleotide ribosomal RNA is filed under the name uncultured bacterium. RNAcentral's name for it is "partial 16S ribosomal RNA". It matches the Rfam family "Bacterial small subunit ribosomal RNA", at positions 524 to 776 of the family's 1533-position model. The record is from RNAcentral.